GAUGAAGAACUUAGCAAAAUGCGAUAAGUAAUGUGAAUUGCAGAAUUCAGUGAAUCAUCGAAUCUUUGAACGCACAUUGCGCCCGCUGGUAUUCCGGCGGGCAUGCCUGUUCGAGCGUCAUUUCAACCCUCAAGCCCCCGGGUUUGGUGUUGGGGAUCGGCUCUGCCCUUCUGGGCGGUGCCGCCCCCGAAAUACAUUGGCGGUCUCGCUGCAGCCUCCAUUGCGUAGUAGCUAACACCUCGCAACUGGAACGCGGCGCGGCCAUGCCGUAAAACCCCAACUUCUGAAUGUUGACCUCGGAUCAGGUAGGAAUACCCGCUGAACUUAAGCAUAUCAAUAAGCGGAGGA
RNAcentral lists this unclassified non-coding RNA (348 nucleotides) under soil metagenome. Its description in RNAcentral is "partial contains 5.8S ribosomal RNA, internal transcribed spacer 2, and large subunit ribosomal RNA". The stretch from base 1 to 120 matches the Rfam family "5.8S ribosomal RNA", at positions 35 to 154 of the family's 154-position model. The record is from RNAcentral.